RNAcentral lists this ribosomal RNA (483 nucleotides) under uncultured bacterium. RNAcentral's name for it is "partial 16S ribosomal RNA". It matches the Rfam family "Bacterial small subunit ribosomal RNA", at positions 28 to 506 of the family's 1533-position model. The record is from RNAcentral.
AUUGAACGCUGGCGGCAUGCUUUACACAUGCAAGUCGAACGGCAGCGCGGGCUUCGGCCUGGCGGCGAGUGGCGAACGGGUGAGUAAUGCAUCGGAACGUGCCCAGUAGUGGGGGAUAGCCCGGCGAAAGCCGGAUUAAUACCGCAUACGACCUGAGGGUGAAAGCGGGGGACCGAAAGGCCUCGCGCUAUUGGAGCGGCCGAUGUCGGAUUAGCUAGUUGGUGGGGUAAAGGCUUACCAAGGCGACGAUCCGUAGCUGGUCUGAGAGGACGACCAGCCACACUGGGACUGAGACACGGCCCAGUCUCCUACGGGAGGCAGAAGUGGGGAAUUUUGGACAAUGGGGGCAACCCUGAUCCAGCCAUGCCGCGUGCGGGAAGAAGGCCUUCGGGUGGUAAACCGCUUUUGUUCGGGAAGAAAUCCUCUGGGCUAAUACCCCGGGGGGAUGACGGUACCGGAAGAAUAAGCACCGGCUAACUACGU